CGUGCAGGCGGCCUGGUAAGUCGGGCGUGAAAUCUCUCGGCUCAACCGGGAGGGGUCGUCCGAAACUACUAGGCUUGAGGGCAGUAGAGGGAGGUGGAAUUCCCGGUGUAGUGGCGAAAUGCGUAGAGAUCGGGAGGAACACCAGUGGCGAAGGCGGCCUCCUAGGCUGUCCCUGACGCUCAGACGCGAAAGCUAGGGGAGCGAACGGGAUUAGAAACCCCGGUAGUCCUAGCUGUAAACGAUGCAGACUAGGUGUUGGCAGCUUAAACCCUGCCAGUGCCGUAGCCAACGCGUGAAGUCUGCCGCCUGGGGACUACGGCCGCAAGGCUAAA
This 332-nucleotide ribosomal RNA is filed under the name uncultured bacterium. RNAcentral describes it as "bacterial SSU rRNA". It matches the Rfam family "Bacterial small subunit ribosomal RNA", at positions 568 to 898 of the family's 1533-position model. The record is from RNAcentral.